This 327-nucleotide ribosomal RNA is filed under the name uncultured eukaryote. Its description in RNAcentral is "partial 18S ribosomal RNA". It matches the Rfam family "Eukaryotic small subunit ribosomal RNA", at positions 1470 to 1796 of the family's 1831-position model. The record is from RNAcentral.
CCCUUAGAUGUCCGGGGCCGCACGCGCGCUACAAUGGAUGAAUCAACGCGUCAUCCUGGCCCGAAAGGGUUGGGGAACCGCUGAACCUCAUCCGUGGUUGGGAUUGGGGUUUGUAAUUAUUCCCCAUGAACUAGGAAUUCCCAGUAAGCGCGAGUCAUAAGCUCGCGUUGAUUACGUCCCUGCCCUUUGUACACACCGCCCGUCGCUACUACCGAUUGGAUGGUUUAGUGAGAUCCUCGGAUUGGUCACGGCACGGUGGCAACACUGCGUCGGUGUACCGAGAAGACGAUCAAACUUGAUCAUCUAGAGGAAGUAAAAGUCGUAACA